AACGAACGCUGGCGGCAGGCUUAACACAUGCAAGUCGAACGCCCCGCAAGGGGAGUGGCAGACGGGUGAGUAACGCGCGGGAAUCUACCCAGAUCUUCGGAACAACACAGGGAAACUUGUGCUAAUACCGGAUACGCCCUACGGGGGAAAGAUAUAUCGGAUUUGGAUGAGCCCGCGUUGGGUUAGCCCGUUGGUGGGGUAAUGGCCCAACAAGGCUACGAAUCAUAUCUGGUCUGAGAGGAUGAUCAACCACACUGGGUCGGAGACACGGCCCAGACUCGGACGAGAGGCAGCAUUGGGGAAUAUUGGACAAUGGGGGAAAGCCUGACCCAACCAUGCCGCGUGAGUGAUGAAGGCCUUACGGUUGUAAAGCUCUUUUAGUGGGGAAGAUAAUGACGGUACCCACAGAAAAAGCCCCGGCUAACUUCGUGCCAGCAGCCGCCGUAA
Molecule: ribosomal RNA, 447 nt
Filed under: uncultured bacterium
Lineage: Bacteria
Description: partial 16S ribosomal RNA
Rfam family: Bacterial small subunit ribosomal RNA
Source: RNAcentral